RNAcentral lists this unclassified non-coding RNA (248 nucleotides) under Hevea brasiliensis (rubber tree). Lineage: Eukaryota; Viridiplantae; Streptophyta; Magnoliopsida; Malpighiales; Euphorbiaceae. The record is from RNAcentral.
AGUAAUCCAUGAUAAAUCAAACUUAAUGUUAAUCAAUGACCCAAAAUAAUUUCCUUAUAUUUUAGUUCAACACAAAACAAUCAAAAUUACUUUUAGUGUUUGCUACUUUAACCAAUUUUUUUUUACCACACCAGGGCAAAUGCACCUCAUCAUUAAGGGAAACAAAAACUUCCCUUGGUGCUUUGCAUGUUGCAAUUUAAGCAGACAAAAUGUUAAGAAAACUGGGAGGAUUAAAUCUACAAACUCAU